Molecule: ribosomal RNA, 119 nt
Organism: Corchorus capsularis
Lineage: Eukaryota; Viridiplantae; Streptophyta; Magnoliopsida; Malvales; Malvaceae
Source: Rfam
GGGUGCGAUUAAACUAGCACUAAUGCACAGUAUCCCAUCAGAACUCCGCAGUUAAGCGUGCUUGGGUGAGAGUAGUACUAGUAUGGGUGACCUCUUGGGAAGUCCUCGUGUUGCACCCC